AGAGUUUGAUCAUGGCUCAGAUUGAACGUUGGCGGCAUGCCUUACACAUGCAAGUCGAACGGUAACGCGGGGGCAACCCUGGCGACGAGUGGCGAACGGGUGAGUAACAUAUCGGAACGUGCCCUGGAGUGGGGGAUAGCUCGGCGAAAGCCGGAUUAAUACCGCAUACGAUCCACGGAUGAAAGUGGGGGACCGCAAGGCCUCACGCUCCUGGAGCGGCCGAUAUCUGAUUAGCUAGUUGGUGGGGUAAUGGCCUACCAAGGCGACGAUCAGUAGCUGGUCUGAGAGGACGACCAGCCACACUGGGACUGAGACACGGCCCAGACUCCUACGGGAGGCAGCAGUGGGGAAUUUUGGACAAUGGGGGCAACCCUGAUCCAGCAAUGCCGCGUGUGUGAAGAAGGCCUUCGGGUUGUAAAGCACUUUUGUUCGGAAAGAAAUCCCCUGGGAUAAUACCCCGGGGGGAUGACGGUACCGGAAGAAUAAGCACCGGCUAACUACGUGCCAGCAGCCGCGGUAAUACGUAGGGUGCGAGCGUUAAUCGGAAUUACUGGGCGUAAAGCGUGCGCAGGCGGUUGUGCAAGACAGGUGUGAAAUCCCCGGGCUUAACCUGGGAACUGCAUUUGUGACUGCACGGCUAGAGUGUGUCAGAGGGGGGUAGAAUUCCACGUGUAGCAGUGAAAUGCGUAGAUAUGUGGAGGAAUACCGAUGGCGAAGGCAGCCCCCUGGGAUAACACUGACGCUCAUGCACGAAAGCGUGGGGAGCAAACAGGAUUAGAUACCCUGGUAGUCCACGCCCUAAACGAUGUCAACUAGUUGUCGGGGAUUAAUUUCCUUGGUAACGCAGCUAACGCGUGAAGUUGACCGCCUGGGAGUACGGUCGCAGAUUAAACUCAAUGAUUGACGG
This 907-nucleotide ribosomal RNA is filed under the name uncultured bacterium. RNAcentral describes it as "bacterial SSU rRNA". It matches the Rfam family "Bacterial small subunit ribosomal RNA", at positions 8 to 916 of the family's 1533-position model. The record is from RNAcentral.